Molecule: long non-coding RNA, 623 nt
Filed under: Mytilus galloprovincialis (Mediterranean mussel)
Lineage: Eukaryota; Metazoa; Mollusca; Bivalvia; Mytilida; Mytilidae
Source: RNAcentral
AACACUUUAAAUUUGAAAAUUAGAAUAAAAUUACCUACAUGGUCUAUUAAACGUUGUAAAUGUUAACUAAGAACAUCUUUACCCAGGCGAUGGAAUCGUUUAAGUUAUGAAAUGUUUAUAUUCGUUAAAGUUAUAGCUGUCAAAAUUAUGAGAAAUGGCCAUAAACCAGGACAAUAUGGAAAAGAUUCCAGUAUUCAAAUAAUUUUUAAAUGAGCAGAUGACUUUGCGGAGUUUGAAUGUAAACGACAAAAUCAAAACAAAACGAAUACUGGUAUCGGAAGAUUGUUAGUCGCUUUCUUUCCUUGUGGUAUAUUGCUUUGAUAUAUGCAAAAUAAAACAUGAGGGUUUGGAUGUGGGAAUUAUGUGCAAAUCAUACAGAAUAAUGGACCAAUAAAUAAUAAUAAAAAAAGAAUAAAAAAGACCAAUAUAUAUAAUUGUGAAUAAUUGAAAAAAGGGCAUACACAAUUAUAGGAUAUUAACAUAUACAGGAUAGAGAAUACUGAACCAAAAUAUACAAAAUAUUGAAAAAAGGGUUAAAAAAGUACAGACUUGGUGGAACUUCCAACCACACCCUCAUAAUCAUGUUUACAUAUUUGUAAUUGGCCUUGAGAAUCGAAAUCAAA